AUUGAACGCUGGCGGCAUGCCUUACACAUGCAAGUCGAACGGCAGCACGGGAGCAAGCCUGGUGGCGAGUGGCGAAAGGGUGAGUAAAGUAUCGGAACGUGCCCAGUCGUGGGGGAUAACGUAGCGAAAGUUAGGCUAAUACCGCGUACGAUCUAUGGAUGAAAGCGGGGGAUCGCAAGACAUCGCGCGAUUGGAGGGGCGGAUAUCAGAUUGGGUAGUUGGUGGGGGAAAGGCUCACGAAGCCGACGAGCUGUAGCUGGUCUGAGAGGACGACCAGCCACACUGGGACUGAGACACGGCCCAGACUCCUACGGGAGGCAGCAGUGGGGAAUUUUGGACAAUGGGCGAAAGCCUGAUCCAGCCAUGCCGCGUGCAGGAUGAAGGCCUUCGGGUUGUAAACUGCUUUUGUACGGAACGAAAAGGUUUGGCCUAAUAAGCUGAGCUCAUGACGGUACCGUAAGAAUAAGCACCGGCUAACUACGUGCCAGCAGCCGCAGUAA
RNAcentral lists this ribosomal RNA (500 nucleotides) under uncultured bacterium. Its description in RNAcentral is "partial 16S ribosomal RNA". It matches the Rfam family "Bacterial small subunit ribosomal RNA", at positions 29 to 523 of the family's 1533-position model. The record is from RNAcentral.